RNAcentral lists this ribosomal RNA (468 nucleotides) under uncultured bacterium. Its description in RNAcentral is "partial 16S ribosomal RNA". It matches the Rfam family "Bacterial small subunit ribosomal RNA", at positions 28 to 507 of the family's 1533-position model. The record is from RNAcentral.
GAUGAACGCUGACAGAAUGCUUAACACAUGCAAGUCUACUUGAAUUUGGGUUUUUUAACUUAGAUUUGGGUGGCGGACGGGUGAGUAACGCGUAAAGAACUUGCCUCACAGCUAGGGACAACAUUUGGAAACGAAUGCUAAUACCUGAUAUUAUGAUUAUAAGGCAUCUUAGACUUAUGAAAGCUAUAUGCGCUGUGAGAGAGCUUUGCGUCCCAUUAGCUAGUUGGAGAGGUAACGGCUCACCAAGGCGAUGAUGGGUAGCCGGCCUGAGAGGGUGAACGGCCACAAGGGGACUGAGACACGGCCCUUACUCCUACGGGAGGCAGCAGUGGGGAAUAGUGGACAAUGGACCAAGAGUCUGAUCCAGCAAUUCUGUGUGCACGAUGACGUUUUUCGGAAUGUAAAGUGCUUCCAGUUGGGAAGAAAAAAAUGACGGUACCAACAGAAGAAGUGACGGCUAAAUACGUG